GAACACAGCUGUUUGCAAGUGCAUGGGGAAAGCUGUGCUGGGCUGAAAUGCAAAAUGAGGCCAAUGUGUCCCCACGGUCGCUUCUUCAGGAUACUUCUUUGUCCCACAUGGAGACAGAAGCUCCUGCUUAAGUAACCCUGGGGACUUGGAUCAGACAUCAUUAAAAGCAGUGGGGCAGCCAGCCCAUGGGGAGGAGUGGCAAAUGCGGUGCGAAUGAUCAUGUCCUGCAUGGGACAGACCAGGCAGGGCACACCUGUAUCACGUAUGCAGGGCAGGGAAGCUGCAGAUUGAUGGAGGGAAGAAACAGCAAAAGAGCUCCAAGAACGUUGUGUAAAAACCUGAAGAUGUUGGCCUCACACAGAAGUAUGUACAGGCAAAGACAAACAGCAGCAUCACGUUUCAUACAUCACCAGGUAUCCCACUCUAGGAGUAUUC
This 435-nucleotide long non-coding RNA is filed under the name Gallus gallus (chicken). Its description in RNAcentral is "long non-coding RNA NONGGAT005837". Lineage: Eukaryota; Metazoa; Chordata; Aves; Galliformes; Phasianidae. The record is from RNAcentral.